GUUUGAUCCUGCCUCAGGACGAACGCUGGCGGCGUGCUUAACACAUGCAAGUCGAACGAGAAUCUUUUUAACGGAAGCCUUCGGGCAGAAGACUAAAAGAGGAAAGUGGCGGACGGGUGAGUAACGCGUGAGCAACCUACCUUACACAACGGGAUAGCCAUGGGAAACUGUGAUUAAUACCGUAUGAAACCUUUAGUGCGAGUGCACAUAAGGUUAAAGAUUUAUCGGUGUAAGAUGGGCUCGCGUCUGAUUAGCUAGUUGGUGAGGUAACGGCUCACCAAGGCGACGAUGCGUAGCCGACCUGAGAGGGUGAUCGGCCACAUUGGGACUGAGACACGGCCCAGACUCCUACGGGAGGCAGCAGUGGGGAAUAUUGCACAAUGGGGGAAACCCUGAUGCAGCAACGCCGCGUGAGUGAUGACGGCCUUCGGGUUGUAAAGCUCUGUCUUCAGGGACGAUAAUGACGGUACCUGAGGAGGAAGCCACGGCUAACUACGUGCCAGCAGCCGCGGUAAUACGUAGGGAGCAAGCGUUAUCCGGAUUUACUGGGUGUAAAGGGCGUGUAGGCGGGACAACAAGUCAGAUGUGAAAACUAUGGGCUCAACCCAUAGCCUGCAUUUGAAACUGUCGUUCUUGAGUGCUGGAGAGGCAAAUGGAACUCCUAGUGUAGCGGUGAAAUGCGUAGAUAUUAGGAAGAACACCAGUGGCGAAGGCGAUUUGCUGGACAGUAACUGACGCUGAUGCGCGAAAGUGUGGGGAGCAAACAGGAUUAGAUACCCUGGUAGUCCACACCGUAAACGAUGAGCACCAGGUGUCGGACUCGAGAGAGUUCGGUGCCGAAGCUAACGC
This 849-nucleotide ribosomal RNA is filed under the name uncultured bacterium. RNAcentral describes it as "bacterial SSU rRNA". It matches the Rfam family "Bacterial small subunit ribosomal RNA", at positions 11 to 858 of the family's 1533-position model. The record is from RNAcentral.